Molecule: transfer RNA, 57 nt
Filed under: Mus terricolor (Earth-colored mouse)
Lineage: Eukaryota; Metazoa; Chordata; Mammalia; Rodentia; Muridae
Description: tRNA-Pro
Source: RNAcentral
AAGAAGCCCUCCCUUUUAUAUCAGCUUUGCUGCUAUGUGGGAAUAGUCCUCUUCUGA